GCAGUAGCCGCGGGAAUACGGAGGGGGCUAGCGUUGUUCGGAAUUACUGGGCGUAAAGCGCACGUAGGCGGUUUUGUAAGUCAGAGGUGAAAGCCCGGAGCUCAACUCCGGAACUGCCUUUGAGACUGCAUCACUUGAACGUCGGAGAGGUGAGUGGAAUUCCGAGUGUAGAGGUGAAAUUCGUAGAUAUUCGGAAGAACACCAGUGGCGAAGGCGGCUCACUGGACGACUGUUGACGCUGAGGUGCGAAAGCGUGGGGAGCAAACAGGAUUAGAUACCCCGGUAGUCCCUGUCUCUUAUAC
Molecule: ribosomal RNA, 302 nt
Filed under: uncultured bacterium
Lineage: Bacteria
Description: partial 16S ribosomal RNA
Rfam family: Bacterial small subunit ribosomal RNA
Source: RNAcentral